This is a long non-coding RNA of Alligator mississippiensis (American alligator), 3711 nucleotides long. RefSeq lists it as uncharacterized. The record is from RefSeq and is a predicted model, not a curated record. The transcript is spliced from 3 exons. NCBI's taxonomy places the organism in Eukaryota, Metazoa, Chordata, Crocodylia, Alligatoridae.
CCGCUGCGUUGGGGCUGUGAUCCAAAGCAUGAGUUAUGCUGUGGUGUCUCCGUAGCCGCGAGGGUGUCGGGAAGAUGCAGGGAGCAGGAUUUGUUCACGGCUCUCUGAAACAAAAGCGAGAGGCUCUUCCUUGUGCCGCAAGCAAGAACUAACAGCAGAUGGUCCCUCCGGUGCCCAGAUCGUCCCAGCCAAAACACAUCUCUCUUCCCCAGGCUGAAGGGAAGGGGACAGGAAUAGCACCGGUGUGUGACUCAGAUCCACUGAACUCCAGCACGGUCAGUGCAUAUCUGCAACCCGACGGUGCUGGCAGAAAAGCACAGAGAGCAGCGUGCGUGGGACAUCGCUCGUCGUAAUUCCGGAUGGGUUUUUCCAAAAAGCUUAAGUGACUUAGGCACGGCAGUCAUAUUGAUGUAGCGCUUGAUUGUCGCCGGGACGUUCUGCUCUUCCCUCCGCCCUCCCCACGAGCACACCCGAGAACGUGCGCCUGCCAGAUCAUUUGAAUUUGUCUGGCUUCUGCUUCCUGCCAUUGGGUCGUGCUAUUUAUUCUCUUCACCACUAGACUAAAGAGCCCUUUCGAGUUCGGUAUUUCCCCCCAGUGAAAGUACUAACGUGCUGUAAUCAAAUCACCUCUCAAUCACCUUUUUUUUUUUUUUUUUGGGUGAGCGGAGCAGCCCAAGCUCCCGCAGUCUCUCCAGCUCUCGGGCCAGUUUUGCAGCUCCCCGCGCUCCAAUUUUUCAGCCUUCUUCUUAACAUUGAAAUGUGGACGCCAGGAUUGAGCACUCCUGGCUGCCCCCAUGCUAUAAAUUACCCUCCUACUCUUCCUCCCUUCGCUCCCUGUCUAGGUAAUCCCUGCCAGCAUUUGCCAUUUCAGCCAUUGCAUCCGACUGAGAGCUUGCGCUCAGUGCCUGGCCCCGCCCUGAUGCCUCGAUGCCAUUCAGAGGCACUGCCUGCCAGGAUAUGGCCCACCUUCCUGGAGCAAUGGCCUGCAGUCCUUGUUCCUACAUUUCUAGCGGUGCAUUUGGUGGCAUGAACACAUGCUGUGUCUGAAAGGGCCGGGCUUACUAGCUGAUCCAGGCAGCUCUGCACGACUGCCCUGGCUUCGUCCUUCUGGACCUGCCAAUCUCCGCGUCAUCUGCAAAUCGGACCAGCCGCGAUGUACUGUUUUCUUCUAGAUCACUGAUAGAAAGGUUGCAUAAGCUCGGGCCUAGUAUCGGUCCAGCAGACACCCCGGGCAAAGAGGCUUCCCCAUAGAUAUAUCUAAGUCUUAAAAUCUGCCAGUUAACCUGUUCUUCACCCAUUUACCAUAUGCUCUCCUGAUCCCAUGGUGUGUCAAGCUGUUUCCUCAGGGUGCCCUGUGCUCAAAUGCUUUGCACAAGUCUAAGUAUGCAACAUCAAGACAGCUACCUUUAUCACCCGAAUCUCUACCCUAAUUUCAGAAUGAAAUCAGGUUGGUUUGACAAGACCUAUUUUCCAUAAAGCAAUGACUCACGUUCUCAGGUGGCAAAGUGCUGAGGAAAGCCCAAAAUUUACCAUUGAAGCUAACCCACUGCUCUUGCUUAGGUGUGGAAAGACUGAUCCUAUACCUGUUGUUUUAGAUAGCUCAUCACUCCGGUACAGGUCUGUCGAUCCCCACGAGAUGAUCUCCCCACUAGAUCGUCCCCACUAGAUGAUCUCUUGAGGUCCCUUCUAGCCUUUUCCCUCUAUGAUGAUGAUGAUGUUAGGCUAUUUGCCCAUGUUUUCUGGAUAUGGCUAUCACCUGGGCCUGCAGGUGUUGGUAGGUGCUGGGAUGCCAGUUGGGUGGGCACAAACAGAGACCAUCACAUGGAAAUGUGGCUUAAUUUAUCCAACCUACUAGGUUGUUAUUUUUUUAUGGGAUGGACUCUGAUUUCGAUGACAGUCCUGCCUGGGGGCAUCUCUGAAUGGGGAGCUCCCUCCCUGGGCUUCAGCGAGCAGGGCCAAGUGGGUGUUGUCUCUCCGUGACAUCUCUUUCUAAGGCAGGUAGGUGGGAAAUAGGGGGUCAUGGCUCCACAGCGAUAAUAUUCCCAUAUGUGAGUUAUGGGGGGGGCGGGGGGUGCCAUAAAUUGAAUUUAAGGCACCCAGAAGAAGACCAGGGGGAAAAGGAACUGGAUGUCAACACCCAGCCUCACCGCCGAGCUAAGUUGAGCUCUCUGUACUCAGGUUAGUUGUCUCAAGGAAGAACAGCCAUAUGGCCCUGCAGUAUCUAUGCCCAUCUUGGUGCUGGACUCAGCGCCAAGAUAUCUGCAAUCACGCUGCGUGGUCCUCAAUACCGCCGCAAGCCAAGCUGCUUUAAGGUUUCUUCUCCGGGGAAAUGUGGGAGAACUUGUCCGUCCUUCUGUGACGCGGGACGGGAUGGUGGGAAGGCACGGGAGGACUCGUGGGGCCCUGGGUACAGCUCAGUUGUGUCCACACUGCCGAGUGCUCGUGUUAGUGCCUGACCAGCUGCGCUCACGACAGUUUUAACCCUGCCAGCUCAAGUGAGAAGCACAGCCACACUCGAGGUAGGGCGUGGAUAAGAUGUGAGCCAGUGCCUGCACUUGAAUUAUAGUUCAGAUGCACUUUGCAGGCAAGCCAAGCCUUCAGUGGGCUAUGUGUAGAGAACAAGGAUGGCAGAGCUGUGUCUCAGGGGUCCCACGAGCCCUGUGCUGGUGCUCUGGAUGUUAUGCUUCAAUUCAUCUCUGCUGCCCGUACCAUUUUCUUUAUGACUGUGAGCAUCCCAGGUCUGAGUUUGGGGGGAAGAAUUGGUAAAUGAAACGACAAAAGCCCUGCCCCGAGGCUUGUCAAACCCCUCUGUGUGUCACUGGUGUGACAUGGCAGUAGGGGCUGGAUUUGGGUCUCAUUUGCCUGCGUGCCCUUCUUGACUUCGACCGAGGUAAGGCCAAGCAGGUGCUGCCUCUGAAUGUCCUGCCAGGUCCAAACUGCAGCUUCCUUUCUCAGCCAUGCCACCUGCCCUUUCUCUCACUUUGGCUGCAGUGAAGUUUGAGGAGGGCACGGAGGAAGGUGCAAGCACACACACACACACACACACAUGCACACUUGUUAAGUCUGCCUGGGCUCAGCACACACGCAGCUUUGAAGCCCGCUGAUGUGUUUGCUGAGAGGCAAGCUCUGUUGUUGUACUGACGUCUGGAUUCCCAACCACCUGCACAUGAGCUUCCUGGCACUUCUGCAGACAUUUGCAUCAGAGAUACAGCUGCCUCGCGCUCAGAGAGCAACUCUUAGUCUUCAGAGGAUCGUAGGCUUAUUCUCUUUGCAAUUUUCCUAAUUGAAAGUGGGUCUAAAGCUAAGGGUUUCUCUACAGGCUGAGCUGCAAUGGUUUGACUUCAGGCUCGGCUACAUGAGAACAUCGCCCCGGGUCAGCUCCAGGUGCCAGAGAAACCCAUUUAGUUAAACAGCUGCAAAAGGCUGCUCCAAGGUCUCCUGUUUCAGUUCAGCUUGAAUCCAUGAAAACCAGAUUUCAACCCGUUCAAAAUGAACCACUUGCAAACCAAACACGACCGUUCUCAGGGGGGUUUGCACCAUUUGAACCCAACUGGUUUGAAAAGAGUGCAAGUCCAUGUGUAGACAAGGCCUAUUUGGGCACAAAGUGAUUUUUUGGGUUUGUUUUUUUUUUGAGGGGAUGGGAUAGAGAGGGGAGCUAAUAUUUGUAAUUAUUAUAAGCUUUGCUAUUUCAAAUCAUCAGCAUGUAUUAUU